RNAcentral lists this long non-coding RNA (1868 nucleotides) under Canis lupus familiaris (dog). RNAcentral describes it as "lncRNA (ENSCAFG00030015310.1)". The record is from RNAcentral. Lineage: Eukaryota; Metazoa; Chordata; Mammalia; Carnivora; Canidae.
GUGGGCCCUGGGAGGCCCAGGAACAGGUAGACCUGGAGUGGUUUGACCCAGAACGCUUCUUUUCAAUCCUGCUCAGGCAGUCUCUGUCGGUGACAACGAAAAUCAGCCAGAUGAAGGAAGAGGCAGCAUCCGAACAUCAGAAGCGGCCAUCCUCCCCUACGUGCCCUACCCAACCUGUCCUGCCACAGGCUGCCCUCCUGCCACCUGCUUGCCCAUCCUGCAGCCGAGAAGGACAUCACAGCUGGGGGCUCUCAUGACAGACCCCGCAACCGGCAUUGAGGUGCCUGUGCUGGCUGUGACUCUACAUCCUCAAACAAGGCAGUGGCUCACUCUUGGGGGCACAUACUGCAAUCCUCUCACCAAGACUGUGGCCCCUCUAGAGUUGGGGGGCCCCAUGGAGGAUCCAGUCACAGGAAGCAUCUCACCGAUCCUGGGAGUCGGGUUGGAUGAAAACACAGGUGUCUGGCAGCCCUCCGUGCCCUGACCUGGCUUCCCAAUUCCCCCAGCCCCCAGCAACCCCCAGGUUCUGGACCUGGCAGCAAACUACCCCAGACCCAUCUUUCCAUCCUGUAUCCUCACUCUGCUCUCACCCCACCUUUGUUCUCAGUCUUAGCUUCCCUGUCCCCUUCCCCAUCUCCAGCGCAGUGUCUCAGGGAGAAAAAAAGAGACCCGAGCUGGUUAUGCAGUAAAAGCAAAGGAUGUUUCCAACUAAGAAGGGGCAUUCCUCCUCCUGCCACCCUGGGCCCUGUCCCUCUUCCCGUACACUCCCCCACCCCAACUUUUCAUCCCCCAGCCCUGUCCCUCCCUUGGUCUGGAGGACCCAGUUCUCCCUCCCCCACUCUCUCUCCAUCAUCUCUGCUCGGUCCCCUUCCUACCUCACCCUCUUGGGUUCCCAUCUCCAGGUCAGGUGCUUGCACUGGGUGGGCUGCGAGAUGCCUUGGGGAACCUUAUGCUUCCUGGUGACAGCUUUGAGGAGCCGCUGAGCCAGAAGACAGUCCGGCUGCAGGGAGCUUCUCAACAGGAGGGCCGGACAGUGCCCCACAUGGGAGGAUCACAGGCCCUUCUGGAUGCCAACGUGCUGCUGGCCCAGAAGAGAGUGAUCUCCAUGCUCCGGAACUGCCAGGAGAGGCCGGGGUCAAGGACACAGGGGCUUCUGGAAGUUGCCAUCAAGGACAUGAGACAGGCACUGGCCUUGAGUCUACACCAUGUCCUUCAGCAGUCUCGGAGACUGGAGCGGCAGCUGGGGACGGCAGAGGGCAUCGCGGCCAGCGGUGGGAGAAUAGGAAUGAUGUGCUAUCCUGGGACCGAGCUGUGGGUCCCAAGUCCUGUAUGGGAUGGAGAUUCCAGACCCUGAGGGCUCAGGGCUCAUGGUGCCCAUCCUGGGCAUGGAGACUGAUGGGGAUUCUGGUGACGCCACACCCCUGGCAGGUUCAAUGGAGGAUGCUGACGGCAAAGGUAAGUGGAACUGAGGGCCCAUGAAAGCCCCAGGGGGAUCAGGGAUGUGACUUAGCCCUGGGUGAAAAAGCCCUGGAAAGCUCAGGAGGGGUACCCCCUGUCUACUUACUCAUGAGCCAUGGAAUGGAGUCAUUCUGACACCUCCACUAAGGCUGCUGAGACCCAAAAUAAAGUGCUCAGAAACCACUUUAUUUUUUUCCAGAACCACAGGGCCACAGGUCAUUUAUCCCCCACUGAGAAAAUUGAAUCCUUUCAAAAACCAGCAGUCCCAAACCUCACCCUCAGGAUCUGUGGUCUCCAAGAAGCCCUCCAAUUCAGCUCAGAACCCCUCGAAGGGCAAAAGGGGUUCUAAGGGCUCCUUCGGCUCCCUUCCCACCAUGUUUACCUCUUUCCAUGACCACCCCUUCCUUCUU